This 360-nucleotide unclassified non-coding RNA is filed under the name Hevea brasiliensis (rubber tree). Lineage: Eukaryota; Viridiplantae; Streptophyta; Magnoliopsida; Malpighiales; Euphorbiaceae. The record is from RNAcentral.
UCCUACAUACAAGAUACAGUAGCUGUAAUAGACUUCCUAGCAGCAAGAUAUGCAAACAAGCCAAGUCUUGCGGCAAUCGAGUUGAUGAAUGAGCCUACGGCCCCAGGCAUCAGUAUAGACACUCUUAUAAAGUAUUAUCAAGCAGGUUAUGAAGCUGUCAGGAAGUACAGUCAAAGUGCUUAUGUGAUCCUUUCAAACAGGCUAGGACCUGCUGAUCCAAAGGAACUGCUCUCUUUUGCAAGCAACCUUAAUGGUGUAGUCAUUGAUGUGCAUUAUUACAACCUGUUUUCAGAUAUGUUCACGAACAUGAAUGCACAACAAAAUAUUGAUUUCAUCCACAAUCAGCGUUCUAGUGAUCUC